This 498-nucleotide ribosomal RNA is filed under the name uncultured bacterium. RNAcentral describes it as "partial 16S ribosomal RNA". It matches the Rfam family "Bacterial small subunit ribosomal RNA", at positions 28 to 523 of the family's 1533-position model. The record is from RNAcentral.
GAUGAACGCUGGCGGCGUGGAUAAGGCAUGCAAGUCGAACGGUAACGGGCCUUCGGGUGCCGACGAGUGGCGAACGGGUGAGUAAUACAUCGGAACGUGCCCGAUCGUGGGGGAUAACGAGGCGAAAGCUUUGCUAAUACCGCAUACGAUCUACGGAUGAAAGCAGGGGACCGCAAGGCCUUGCGCGGACGGAGCGGCCGAUGGCAGAUUAGGGAGUUGGUGGGAUAAAAGCUUACCAAGCCGACGAUCUGUAGCUGGUCUGAGAGGAUGAUCAGCCACACUGGGACUGAGACACGGCCCAGACUCCUACGGGAGGCAGCAGUGGGGAAUUUUGGACAAUGGGCGCAAGCCUGAUCCAGCCAUGCCGCGUGCAGGAUGAAGGCCUUCGGGUUGUAAACUGCUUUUGUACGGAACGAAAAGCCUUCUUCUAAUACAGGAGGGUCAUGACGGUACCGUAAGAAUAAGCACCGGCUAACUACGUGCCAGCCGCCGCGGUAA